GGGGAUGAAAGGUUUCGACGGGGCAGAGUUCGUUUGCGAACGGCAAGCCGAGGCGCCUGUCCUCGUAAAAACGGGCAACACCACAAGUGCCAAGAACACUGGCAAGGCCUUCAACUUCGGGUUCGCCCGCUCCAACGCCAUGGCGUUGGCCGCCUAAGAAUCCGAAGCCAUAAGGUAUCCGGUCAUCAGAAGAUGACCACGGCCCUGAGAGCGGGUCCCGGCAGCGCUCUCAGAUCGCCGUCAUAGACUGCAGGGUGCAGCCCGGCGGACGUCGAUAUGCCGGGUCAAGACGCAUCGACUAGCCUGCUAGCCGGAUGGGGUCUCUGGCAUCCCGCAGGUGAAACCUCACCCAGAGACUAAGCUUGUAGAAGUUCGUAGGCGACUGUCCCGGACCGGGGUUCGAUUCCCCGCAUCUCCACCU
RNAcentral lists this transfer-messenger RNA (421 nucleotides) under Chloroflexota bacterium. RNAcentral's name for it is "Chloroflexi bacterium transfer-messenger RNA". It matches the Rfam family "transfer-messenger RNA". From Rfam's summary of the family: Bacterial tmRNA, also known as 10Sa RNA or SsrA, is named for its dual tRNA and mRNA-like properties. Its role is to liberate the mRNA from a stalled ribosome. To accomplish this part of the tmRNA is used as a reading frame that ends in a translation stop signal. Lineage: Bacteria; Bacillati; Chloroflexota. The record is from RNAcentral.